GGGUGUGUAGCCCAGCAGUAGAGUGCUUGCCUCACAUGCACAAUGCUCUGGGUUCAACCCCCAGUACCACCA
Molecule: transfer RNA, 72 nt
Filed under: Cavia porcellus (domestic guinea pig)
Lineage: Eukaryota; Metazoa; Chordata; Mammalia; Rodentia; Caviidae
Rfam family: tRNA
About the family: Transfer RNA (tRNA) molecules are approximately 80 nucleotides in length.
Source: Rfam by way of RNAcentral